RNAcentral lists this unclassified non-coding RNA (432 nucleotides) under soil metagenome. Its description in RNAcentral is "partial contains 5.8S ribosomal RNA, internal transcribed spacer 2, and large subunit ribosomal RNA". The stretch from base 1 to 120 matches the Rfam family "5.8S ribosomal RNA", at positions 35 to 154 of the family's 154-position model. The record is from RNAcentral.
GAUGAAGAACGUAGCGAAAUGCGAUACGUAAUGUGAAUUGCAGAAUUCAGUGAAUCAUCGAAUCUUUGAACGCAUAUUGCGCUCACUGGUAUUCCGGAGAGCAUGCUUGUUUGAGUAUCAGUAAACACCUCAACUUCCAUAUCUUUUUUGAAAUGGGAGUUGGACUUGAGUGAUCCCAACGCUUUUCCUCACCGAAAAGUGGCGGGUUACUUGAAAUGCAGGUGCAGCUGGACUUUUCUCUGAGCUAUAAGCAUAUCUAUUUAGUCUGCCUAAAAAACAGAUUAUUACCUUUGCUGCAGCUAACAUAAAGGAGAUUAGUUCUUGUGCUGACUGAUGCAGGAUUCACAAAGACGGCUUCGGCCGACUUUGUAAACUCGAUCUCAAAUCAAGUAAGACUACCCGCUGAACUUAAGCAUAUCAAUAAGCGGAGGA